CGCCGCACGCGUCCGCCGCCGCCGCCGCUGUCCCGGCCGCGUCCUCUCCACCCCCGCCCCGCCGCGCUCCGGGCAGCGUCCCGCGCGGGAGAGGUGGGCGGGCGGCGGAGCGGCGAGCCGGGGCGCGUGCGGCCUUCGAAGUUGAGGAGGAGUGCGGGCGCCCCUCCGCUGCCCCGCUUCAGCGCCGCGCGCACACACCGGCCCGCCAACAGCUCUCCGUCCUCGGGGGGAGCCGCGCCGCCGCCGCCGGCUUCCGAGGCGCAGACGCGAGAGGCGCGCUAAGCCUCUGGGCUCCGCCACAUAGCGAGCCGACAAUAAAGCCGGCGGAGCGUUUCCGUCCGACCAGGCCCUGGCGGAGGUCGAAUGGCAAAUGAACAACGGACCGUGCGCCCACAAUGCACCGGGGGUCUUUUAUUGGCCAGGAAUUUACGAAGUAGGGUGGACUGGCUGGCCAGUAAGCCCCAGGCUUUGCCUGCCUCUGCACAGGAAUUACAAGCAUACCCUAACAGGGCCUCGCCACCACACCUGUCUUUCUUGAUGUGAGCUCCGGGGAUCCACCUCACCUGGGAGGCUAAGACACGAGGUGCUGGAAGUUCAAGGCCAGCCUAGGCUACAGAGACUGUCUCAGAGACACUCCCACCCGGGAAAACCAACCAAGCAUCACUUACUAAGAGCCCUAAAGGGAAGUAUACAUAUAUCUCAAAAGCUGGUUCACUGAUUUACAAAGGACCACUGCAAUAUUUAAAACACAGGCUGCUUUUCCAAAGGAACAGACUUCGGUCCCCAGCUCCCACUGUGGGUGCCCCACAGCUGCCUGUAACCCCAGCUCCAGGGGAUCUGAUGGACCGCCUGCACUCAGGUGAGACCCAUUUAUGUGUAAAAAAAAGUUAAAUCUUAACAAAAUAUCUUCUUACAAAAACGGUGGUGUGAUUAGGUCCUACAGAAAGAAAGAGCCCUGACCGUACUGUGCCAAAUUUGUAAUCCCAGUGCUGGCAAGGGGAGGCUUCGAGGAUGAUCAGCAGUUCGGGGUCCGUCUCAACUAUGUGAACCAUGGCUACAUGAAACCCUGUUUAAAUAAUAAGUAAAUGUGGCUGUGGUGUCACUGGCUGGCUCUGGGAGGUUGGCUUUUCAAAUAAAAUUGUUUUCUGUA
Mesocricetus auratus (golden hamster) is the source of this 1150-nucleotide long non-coding RNA. RefSeq lists it as uncharacterized. The record is from RefSeq and is a predicted model, not a curated record. The transcript is spliced from 2 exons. Lineage: Eukaryota; Metazoa; Chordata; Mammalia; Rodentia; Cricetidae.